Molecule: long non-coding RNA, 3272 nt
Organism: Lytechinus pictus (painted urchin)
Lineage: Eukaryota; Metazoa; Echinodermata; Echinoidea; Temnopleuroida; Toxopneustidae
Exons: 3
Source: RefSeq, a predicted model, not a curated record
ACCUACGCAUGUAAUAACCGCCAAUUGCAAUAUUUGAAAAAAAAACCGAUCAACCACUGUUUUGCUGUUGAUAAGUCCGUCGAUAAUUCAUCAUAAACUAAAGGAACACAGGUCAGAUUCGGACAACGACUUCAAAGUCAUUCGCAGAAUAGGCUAAAUAAUUGGACGACGGAUACACUGGAUGAUAAUGUAGAUGGUCCAGGAUUAUCAGGGAAGGAUACUACAGAUGCUGAACACAGAAAACCGUUUACAAGAAAACAACUGGAGUUUGUGAAAGCUUCAAGGAAUUAAUCCUGCUGGGUACCCAUUCACUUCACCUUGCUCGAGUGCAGCACAGUGUGGAUAAAUGUGUUGCUGAAGGAAAACACCAUUGCUAGGAUUUGAACCCACGACCCUCUGUUUGAAAGGUGAGAGACAGAACCACUUGACCACGACGCACCCGCAAUUUACAAGCUGAUGUCAUAUCCCCACUUGUUCUUUAGUAUUUUAUAACAAGAAGUCCUGUUUAUUCACAUUUUGACCUCCAAGAACUAAAUAGUGGAGUGAAAAUGUAUUUAAUGUGAACAUAUGCAUUGCUGGAAAUCACUUCAUGAUAUGUGGGACAAAUCAUACACACGUGUUUGAAAAUAUGAAAUAAUUAUGGUUUCAUUCUAUUACAUAAGCCUAACAAAUAUUCCUGACGAUCGUGUGCACAUUCCAGUAAUAUUUCCCAAAAUGUUGCUAAACUUUCACAUUAAAGACUUCGUUAUCAGAUUUUAAUGAAAUUGUCAACAUUAUGCUUUUCUGAUUCAUUCUCUUCUUACCUAAAUCUCUCCUUUUCUCAUGCUUUCACUCUAUGGUCCCCUUCAUUCUCCUUAUCACUAUGUUAUAGGUAAAAUGUAACCGGUCGUCUAACCCAUUUGAUUGAAGGGUUAGGUACCCGGUACUCUACUCUAGGUACUCACAUUUAAAAGUUAUGUGAUUCAAACACAAAGUGUACAUCAGACAAACAAAAAACAGUGAAAAUUUCAUCAAAAUUGAAUGAGUAUUAACGAAGUUAUGACGAAUUAAUGUUGUUUUUUUUUUGGUAAAACUGUUCUCUGCAUGUCCUCAUUAAAGGACAAGUCCACCCCAACAAAAAGUUGAUUUGAAUAAAAAGAGAAAAAUCCAACAAGCAUAACACUGAAAAUUUCAUCAAAAUCGGAUGAAAAAUAAGAAAGUUAUGACAUUUUAAAGUCUCGCUUAAUUUCACAGAACAGUUAUAAGCACAUCCUGGUCUGUAUGCAAAUGAAGAGACUGAUGAUGUCAUCCACUCACUAUUUCUUUUGUAUUUUAUUACAGGAAAUAUGAAAUAUUCUAAUUUUCUCCUCAUUGUCAAGUGAUACAACGAUUAAUUCCUCCCUGAACAUGUGGAAUUAGCAUUGUUUAAUACUAUAUGGUUCAGUCAAGUUGGUCCUUAUUGUCAAAUCUAUAAAAAAUGAAAUAUUGUAUAAUUCAAACAAUAAAAAACAAAAGAAAUAGUGAGGGACAUCAUCAACUUUCUCAUUUGAGUUGUGCAUAUCACUGUUUUGUGAAAAAUAAGUGAAACUUUAAAAUGUCAUAACUUUCUUAUUUUAAAUCCAAUUUUGAUGAAAUUUUCAGCACUAUGCUAGUUUGAUUUUUCUCUAUUUAUUCAAGUCAGCAUUUUCCUGGGGUGGACUUGACCUUUAAUAAACAAGAUCCCAAUUUAUAUAUUUUUUUGUAUUAUAUGAAUUCAAAUUUUGUCAGCUAGGUUGUAAGAAUUUACGAUUGACUACUGAUUUACUGUGUAAGACAAUAAUCUUAUUUUUUCUCACACAUAGUUAAGUAAUUCAUCUGAUUCAACACAACAAAAAUAGACAAAAAAGAAAUAAGUGGGUAUCUUGUAUAUAUUAUUUUCUAUAUAUUUUGUAAAAUGUUAGAAAAAGAGGUCUCUAAUUUUUCUUCUAUUUUUUCAGUGUUCCAAAUUGAAUUAUUUCUUUUUCCUAUUUUCAUUAUAUUUUCUUUCUAUUUGUGAUAUAUCACUUAUUUCUUUAUGUAUCUUUAUUGUAUUUAUGAUAAACUUUUGGCGUGUUUCUACAGAAAUCAUUAAAAAAACGGUUUAUCUUUACCCGAUUCGAAAAAACCUUAUCGCCCUUAAACCAACCUGUUUCUACAGACCGAAUAAUCUGAUUAACUCGCAUUUUGCGUCACAAAUACGGCGGAAAUCGGAAAAUUCAACCUAUAACCUCACAUUGCAUCUUGAUAGGGAAAUUUUCAAAAUUUAUGGUAGAUCUCACUCAGUGUAGCAGGUAUACACAUUGCGCGAUUAGCUGGCGAGAUCGAAAAGGCCAGAAUAUAUGCAUACUGCGAAAUUGCACUUCCGGGUUCAAGCACUUCCGCCAGACACAAUAUUCUAUUUUGCCCCGUGUUUUUACAGAAAAGUUAAACGGAUUAACAUGGCAAUAACCACCUCUCAGAGAUGGUUAUGACAAACCGUAUUUUGCGCGAUGCAGUUUAUCAAUAAACCGCAUCGCGUCUGUUUUUUACAGGAAAGUUUUCCGGGAUUCUGGAUACUUACGCGUGUAAUACCUUUUAACGAUUCUAUGUAGAAACACGCCGUUUGAUAAUCUUUUUAGGUGAAAAGAAAAUAGAGAACGAUUUUGGGGUUCUUUUUUUGGGGGGGGUACUAUUUUCCCCCUUUUGGGGAUAUUUCAUUUCUUCUCGGUUUGGUACCCUUUAUUCAUUUGGCGAUGUGAAGGCUAUCACACAUUUUGAGUUUAAUCUUCGAAAUUUGGUGUUCAUUAGUUUGUCCAAACUCUGUCUUUCAUGUAUAUUUGUUUAUAGGAAGAUUAACAUAAUAUCUAUGUGGAGUGCAAUCAUUGAUCUCUUGUAGAGUCGCACAGUCACAUGUAUUCAUAAUACUGGUGCUUUCAUGCCAUACUUGUCAAUACUCUUUUGUACUUAAACUUAUUAGUAAAAAAAAUGUUUUAUUAAUGUAUGCAGAACAGUGAUUUUGCCAGGUACUCAAUCCAUGUAAAAAGCAAUCAGAGAGAACAGGUUUAUUCUUGGAAAUGUUAGUCUUCAUUUGUUGUGUUUUUCAAUCAAACUCUGUCUUGAUGCAUGUUUAUUUUUAGAUACCAAGACUGAUAGAAUAUAGAUGUCAACGAGUAGCAAAGUCGUAUAUAUUCAUUACAUAACUUAUUUGCUUUAAUUAUAAAGUCUAUACUUGUGAAUACUCUGCUAUUUAUGCUACUUAAACUUCUUAUAGUAAAAACAUUUUAUUGACGUUCUUG